This 2902-nucleotide ribosomal RNA is filed under the name Klebsiella sp. KP20-425-1. Its description in RNAcentral is "23S ribosomal RNA". It matches the Rfam family "Bacterial large subunit ribosomal RNA". Lineage: Bacteria; Pseudomonadati; Pseudomonadota; Gammaproteobacteria; Enterobacterales; Enterobacteriaceae. The record is from RNAcentral.
GGUUAAGCGACUAAGCGUACACGGUGGAUGCCCUGGCAGUCAGAGGCGAUGAAGGACGUGCUAAUCUGCGAAAAGCGUCGGUAAGGUGAUAUGAACCGUUACAGCCGGCGAUGUCCGAAUGGGGAAACCCAGUGCAAUUCGUUGCACUAUCGUUAACUGAAUACAUAGGUUAACGAGGCGAACCGGGGGAACUGAAACAUCUAAGUACCCCGAGGAAAAGAAAUCAACCGAGAUUCCCCCAGUAGCGGCGAGCGAACGGGGAGCAGCCCAGAGUCUGAAUCAGCUUGUGUGUUAGUGGAACGGUCUGGAAAGUCCGACGGUACAGGGUGAUAGUCCCGUACACCAAAAUGCACAGGCUGUGAACUCGAAGAGUAGGGCGGGACACGUGGUAUCCUGUCUGAAUAUGGGGGGACCAUCCUCCAAGGCUAAAUACUCCUGACUGACCGAUAGUGAACCAGUACCGUGAGGGAAAGGCGAAAAGAACCCCGGCGAGGGGAGUGAAAAAGAACCUGAAACCGUGUACGUACAAGCAGUGGGAGCACCUUCGGGUGUGACUGCGUACCUUUUGUAUAAUGGGUCAGCGACUUAUAUUCUGUAGCAAGGUUAACCGUAUAGGGGAGCCGCAGGGAAACCGAGUCUUAACUGGGCGUUAAGUUGCAGGGUAUAGACCCGAAACCCGGUGAUCUAGCCAUGGGCAGGUUGAAGGUUGGGUAACACUAACUGGAGGACCGAACCGACUAAUGUUGAAAAAUUAGCGGAUGACUUGUGGCUGGGGGUGAAAGGCCAAUCAAACCGGGAGAUAGCUGGUUCUCCCCGAAAGCUAUUUAGGUAGCGCCUCGUGAAUUCAUCUUCGGGGGUAGAGCACUGUUUCGGCUAGGGGGUCAUCCCGACUUACCAACCCGAUGCAAACUACGAAUACCGAAGAAUGUUAUCACGGGAGACACACGGCGGGUGCUAACGUCCGUCGUGAAGAGGGAAACAACCCAGACCGCCAGCUAAGGUCCCAAAGUCAUGGUUAAGUGGGAAACGAUGUGGGAAGGCACAGACAGCCAGGAUGUUGGCUUAGAAGCAGCCAUCAUUUAAAGAAAGCGUAAUAGCUCACUGGUCGAGUCGGCCUGCGCGGAAGAUGUAACGGGGCUAAACCAUGCACCGAAGCUGCGGCAGCGACACUAUGUGUUGUUGGGUAGGGGAGCGUUCUGUAAGCCUGCGAAGGUGACCUGUGAGGGUUGCUGGAGGUAUCAGAAGUGCGAAUGCUGACAUAAGUAACGAUAAAGCGGGUGAAAAGCCCGCUCGCCGGAAGACCAAGGGUUCCUGUCCAACGUUAAUCGGGGCAGGGUGAGUCGACCCCUAAGGCGAGGCCGAAAGGCGUAGUCGAUGGGAAACAGGUUAAUAUUCCUGUACUUGGUGUUACUGCGAAGGGGGGACGGAGAAGGCUAUGUUAGCCGGGCGACGGUUGUCCCGGUUUAAGCAUGUAGGCUGGUUAUCCAGGCAAAUCCGGAUAAUCAAGGCUGAGGUGUGAUGACGAGGCACUACGGUGCUGAAGUAACAAAUGCCCUGCUUCCAGGAAAAGCCUCUAAGCAUCAGGUAACAUCAAAUCGUACCCCAAACCGACACAGGUGGUCAGGUAGAGAAUACCAAGGCGCUUGAGAGAACUCGGGUGAAGGAACUAGGCAAAAUGGUGCCGUAACUUCGGGAGAAGGCACGCUGGUGUGUAGGUGAAGUCCCUGCGGAUGGAGCUGAGACCAGUCGAAGAUACCAGCUGGCUGCAACUGUUUAUUAAAAACACAGCACUGUGCAAACACGAAAGUGGACGUAUACGGUGUGACGCCUGCCCGGUGCCGGAAGGUUAAUUGAUGGGGUUAUCCGUAAGGAGAAGCUCUUGAUCGAAGCCCCGGUAAACGGCGGCCGUAACUAUAACGGUCCUAAGGUAGCGAAAUUCCUUGUCGGGUAAGUUCCGACCUGCACGAAUGGCGUAAUGAUGGCCAGGCUGUCUCCACCCGAGACUCAGUGAAAUUGAACUCGCUGUGAAGAUGCAGUGUACCCGCGGCAAGACGGAAAGACCCCGUGAACCUUUACUAUAGCUUGACACUGAACAUUGAGCCUUGAUGUGUAGGAUAGGUGGGAGGCUUUGAAGCGUGGACGCCAGUCUGCGUGGAGCCAACCUUGAAAUACCACCCUUUAAUGUUUGAUGUUCUAACGUUGGCCCCUUACCGGGGUUGCGGACAGUGUCUGGUGGGUAGUUUGACUGGGGCGGUCUCCUCCCAAAGCGUAACGGAGGAGCACGAAGGUUAGCUAAUCCUGGUCGGACAUCAGGAGGUUAGUGCAAUGGCAUAAGCUAGCUUGACUGCGAGCGUGACGGCGCGAGCAGGUGCGAAAGCAGGUCAUAGUGAUCCGGUGGUUCUGAAUGGAAGGGCCAUCGCUCAACGGAUAAAAGGUACUCCGGGGAUAACAGGCUGAUACCGCCCAAGAGUUCAUAUCGACGGCGGUGUUUGGCACCUCGAUGUCGGCUCAUCACAUCCUGGGGCUGAAGUAGGUCCCAAGGGUAUGGCUGUUCGCCAUUUAAAGUGGUACGCGAGCUGGGUUUAGAACGUCGUGAGACAGUUCGGUCCCUAUCUGCCGUGGGCGCUGGAGAAUUGAGGGGGGCUGCUCCUAGUACGAGAGGACCGGAGUGGACGCAUCACUGGUGUUCGGGUUGUCAUGCCAAUGGCACUGCCCGGUAGCUAAAUGCGGAAGAGAUAAGUGCUGAAAGCAUCUAAGCACGAAACUUGCCCCGAGAUGAGUUCUCCCUGAGACUUUAAGUCUCCUGAAGGAACGUUGAAGACGAUGACGUUGAUAGGCCGGGUGUGUAAGCGCAGCGAUGCGUUGAGCUAACCGGUACUAAUGAACCGUGAGGCUUAACCUU